This is a long non-coding RNA of Ailuropoda melanoleuca (giant panda), 441 nucleotides long. RefSeq lists it as uncharacterized. The transcript has 3 exons. Lineage: Eukaryota; Metazoa; Chordata; Mammalia; Carnivora; Ursidae. The record is from RefSeq and is a predicted model, not a curated record.
GGUUUUAUUCAUACUACUAAGCCAAUGCUAAUGAAACACUAACAUGUAUAGGACUCACCUGGGGGGCUUGUUAACAUUCAUAUUCUGAUUCACCUUCUGCAUUUCUGCCCCGCUCCCCGGUGAUGCUGACGCCACUGGUCCAGGACCACGAAUCCACAGAUGGAGGCGGCAAGAAUUAAAGAGCCGUUCUCUCCUUUCCCACAGUUAGCCAGCCUGAGGAAGCAGUGUUUCCCUUUCUCUGCUGAUGGCUGCACAUUACUUUGACAUCUUAUGGGGCCCACAAUACUGUGUGUAGAUCUCAUGCUGGGAAAAAGCCAGCACAGCCACUUCUGAGCCUUUUGUGUCAGAGCUCUGGACAUGCACCGUCCCUGCUCCCGGUUUCCAUCUUUGCCGAUCUCCCACCCUCCGCCUCUGCAGCUCACACUUGGCUGGAUCGCGCUC